GCGCUCGUAGCCUAGCUUGGAUAGGGCGUCGGCCUUCUAAGCCGAAGGUCGCGGGUUCAAAUCCCGCCGAGCGCA
RNAcentral lists this transfer RNA (75 nucleotides) under Thermoplasmata archaeon. RNAcentral's name for it is "tRNA-Arg". It matches the Rfam family "tRNA". Rfam says of the family: Transfer RNA (tRNA) molecules are approximately 80 nucleotides in length. Their secondary structure includes four short double-helical elements and three loops (D, anti-codon, and T loops). Further hydrogen bonds mediate the characteristic L-shaped molecular structure. tRNAs have two regions of fundamental functional importance: the anti-codon, which is responsible for specific mRNA codon recognition, and the 3' end, to which the tRNAs corresponding amino acid is attached (by aminoacyl-tRNA synthetases). tRNAs cope with the degeneracy of the genetic code in two manners: having more than one tRNA (with a specific anti-codon) for a particular amino acid; and 'wobble' base-pairing, i.e. permitting non-standard base-pairing at the 3rd anti-codon position. Lineage: Archaea; Methanobacteriati; Thermoplasmatota; Thermoplasmata. The record is from RNAcentral. RNAcentral also lists the same sequence under 1 other name.